CCUACGGGUGGCAGCAGUAGGGAAUCUUCGGCAAUGGGGGCAACCCUGACCGAGCAACGCCGCGUGAGUGAAGAAGGUUUUCGGAUCGUAAAGCUCUGUUGUAAGAGAAGAACGGGAGUGGGAGUGGAAAGUCCACUUCGUGACGGUAUCUUACCAGAAAGGGACGGCUAACUACGUGCCAGCAGCCGCGGUAAUACGUAGGUCCCGAGCGUUAUCCGGAUUUAUUGGGCGUAAAGCGAGCGCAGGCGGUUAGAUAAGUCUGAAGUUAAAGGCUGUGGCUUAACCAUAGUACGCUUUGGAAACUGUUUAACUUGAGUGCAAGAGGGGAGAGUGGAAUUCCAUGUGUAGCGGUGAAAUGCGUAGAUAUAUGGAGGAACACCGGUGGCGAAAGCGGCUCUCUGGCUUGUAACUGACGCUGAGGCUCGAAAGCGUGGGGAGCAAACAGGAUUAGAUACCCUGGUAGUC
Molecule: ribosomal RNA, 465 nt
Filed under: uncultured Streptococcus sp.
Lineage: Bacteria; Bacillati; Bacillota; Bacilli; Lactobacillales; Streptococcaceae
Description: bacterial SSU rRNA
Rfam family: Bacterial small subunit ribosomal RNA
Source: RNAcentral